Molecule: non-coding RNA, 3340 nt
Organism: Salvia hispanica
Lineage: Eukaryota; Viridiplantae; Streptophyta; Magnoliopsida; Lamiales; Lamiaceae
Source: RefSeq, a predicted model, not a curated record
UUAAGAAAGAAUAAAUGAAGCCCAAUAAUCCCAACUAAGGUAGAAUUACAUACAGUGGACCUCUUCACUUCUCCAUCCACCGCGCCGGAAAAAGUUGUCGGUCGCCGUCGUAGCUCCAUGCUCUCUUCAUCAGUUUCUUCUCCCCUUCCACUAAGAGAGAACUCAAAGAUUUAAAAUUCCCAUCUCUUCUUACAAAAACAGGCCGAAUUCUACUCACAUAAUUCAACCUCCACCACCCCACCACGAGCAACUUUGUUCUUUCUGCCACCGCUAACUCUCAGAUCAUAAGAAUGACAGCUUUUGGUGCUGUUCUUUCUCUUAGGAAUACAAUUAACAAUAUUCUCUGUUGUUCUCGUUUUAGCCUUGUUGGCCGUUCUAAACAAAUUAUAGAAGGCGUGUGCAGUGAGUUGGAGCCUUGGGAAGAAAUUCUGGAAAGAUUGGACGAGACAAGUCCAAGCAGGAGCAGGAAGAAGGUGAAUGCUUUGGAUGGAAGAAUCAAAGAUGCAAUGUGGAAAUUUGAAGACUCAUUGGAAUCCCUUCUCGUUCAACAGAUUCCUUUACAAUUUGAAAGUAUUCCAGAUAUUGUCUCCAUUAGUCUGCAGAGUCUGCAAAAUGAUGUUGAUUUCUUGAUCCAUGCACUCAAUGAUAUGAAGGAGGAGUACAUUUAUGAAGUAGUGAAUAUGCCUCAAGACGAACCUAUUUCCUCAUUAAUUGGUUUUCAUGGAACAUACUCGAAGAUGAUUGGAUUAUCUGACCAGUUCCAACAACUCAAAGCCGAUCUUAUGAGAGCAUCUUGCGGCUGGAAUUAUAUGGGUUGGGGAGACCACAGUUGCUAUACACUUUAUGGAACGGCAGGCAUUGGGAAGACCACUCUUGCUAUGCAAAUUUACGAAGAUCCAGAAAUUCAGAACAAAUAUGAGUGCCACACGUGGGUCACUGUAGGCAGAGUACCUCAACCGAUCAGUCAAAUUUCACAAGGCAUUCUUGCUCAACUUUGUGGAAUUACACAAGGAGAUGAAGAAAUAGACGACUGCUUGAAAGAAAAAUUGGAUGGCAAGAAUUGCCUAAUUGUGUUGGACGAUGUUUGGGAGACACGUGAAUUGAAUUACUUGGAAGAUUCCUUACGAGACAUCCAAAAUGGAUGUAUUCGUGUCUUGCUUACUGGUCGACAUCGAAAAUUGAUAAAUGCUUAUAUGCAUAAUGAAUAUUCGUACGAGGUGCGGUUUUUGAAAGAAGAAGAAAGUAUGGAUCUACUAUGUGAGAAGGUGUUUGGUGAUGACGUUUGUCCUCCUCAACUUCACAAAUCUGCCACCAAAAUUGCCAAGCUUUGUGAAGGUCUCCCUCUCUUGAUAGUUACUGUUGCUGACAUCAUAUCAAAAUCCGAGCGGAAUAGAAACCCAACCUACUGGAAGGAUGUAGCAGAAAAGAAAAAUUCAGUCUUCACGGAUGCAUAUAAUAAAAUAUCAAAGGUACAAUUCCCAAGUUACGACUAUUUACCUCAACGUCUUAAAAUUCCUUUUCUGUUUAUGGGAGUUUUCCCUCAAGAUUACAAUAUCCCACCUUCGAAGAUUAUCAUUAUGCUCACCAUUGAGGGGUUGUGGUAUGAUCGGGAAUGUUUCAGAGAACUGGCUUUCUACUACAGUCUUGUUUUACGCAACUUGAAGACUGUCUUUAAAUCUUCGCAUGAGAUUUCUGUUAGCGAUUUUAAAACAUGUUGGCUUCAUUCUUCAUGGAGGCAUGUGUGUAGAGGAGAAGCUAGUAAGAACAAGUUUUAUCACGUCUUAAAUAAGUUGGAUGAUGCUGAAGAAGGUCUAAAAGUUCAGCGUGGCUUGUGUCUUGAAAAUAACAUUUUAUUUGGUAUCAAAGAGUUUCGCGAUUCAGUGAGAUUGAACUGUGCAUCCUCUGCACGUUCUCUCUUUUCCUAUGGUCCUUACAAUCAAUAUCCAAUCCCUAUAGAUGUCGGUUUCAAGUUGCUAAGGGAAAUAGAUGCUCUUACACAACGUUUCUAUACUUUCCCAAUAGAAAUUCUGCCACUAGUUCAACUAAAGUACCUUGCUUUAACUUGCAACGGGGAACUCCCUGCAACUAUAUCCAAACUUUUCAAUCUUCAAGUCUUGAUUAUCCAUCCACAUCAAAAUAUAAAACGUUGUGGAGCUCCAUCACAUGUACCGAUACAAAUAUGGGACAUGCAAGAGUUAGAACAUAUUGAGAUAUCGGGAAAGAGCCUUGUAUCUCCAUCUCAUGUUGCUUCUUUGAGAAAGCUGUCAACAAUUGUGGGUGUGAAUGCUAGCAUUAGUACUCUCUUGGAACUCUCGAGAAGAAUUCCUAACAUAAAGAAAUUAGGAAUACAGAUUGAGCUUACACCUUACGAUGACCAUAACGAUCUUUUGAGUUGCUUUGGUUGCAUUUCAACACUUGGAAGUUUGGAGACACUCAAAUUUAGUAUCAUUAAUCCUGUGGUCAACCAUGGUCGUAUUUUCCAGGUGACUCCCGGGUCACUAAGGUUGCCACGUAAUUUGAAAAAGUUGCAUUUGAGUGGCAUGAGUUUGCCCUGGGAAUACAUGGAUGUCAUUGGCUCAUUGCCGAGUCUUAAAGUGCUCAAAUUGAGAUCAUAUGCCUUUCAGGGUUCGCAUUGGAAAACAAAAAGGCAUAGUUUUUCGAGUCUCGAGUUUCUUCUAAUUGAAGAGAGUGAUUUGGUGCAAUGGAAACCAGGAUACCUAAGCUUCCUUAAGCUUAAAUAUCUAAGCUUGAAACAUUGCUACAAACUAAAAGAGAUCCACAGGCCCGCUUCCGUGUACGCAGAAUUUGGACGUAUGAUCAUAGAGAUUGAAUUGGAGGACUGCAAUCCUUUAGCUUUGACUUGGGCCAGCCAAUUACAACCAACUAAUGAUGUUAAGCUUCGUGUUAUUGCCUCUUCUUCGUUUUAUGAGAAACCAACAACUUUCAAGAGUGAAAGGGAUGGAGCGGACUAUAUAUCUGGGCUGGAAAGAUCCAUUUUGGAAGUUGAGGAGGAGAAUGAUGACGAAGAUAUGUCUGAAAAUGAGGAUACAGACAAAGAGGAUAAUAUUUAAGAAAUUGCCAAUUGGGGUGAGGAUGGUGAAGGUAUUGCUCAUGUGAAUGCUAUGGAGCUAUUAGGAGAGUAGUAACUUUGCUCAAUGAUCAUCUUAUAAAUUCUACCUGAAAAACGGCAGAUAUAGGCGAGGGUGAUGAUAUGGAUAGCGAGGAAGAGGAUUGUGAUGAAGAAGUUGACAAUCAAGUAGGAUGAUGAAGGUUAUUGGAUUCGAUAGAAAAUGUUCGAUCUUAUUUCUAAUCUUAACGACGAAUCACAAAUUCACUGGUA